Molecule: long non-coding RNA, 537 nt
Filed under: Phoenix dactylifera (date palm)
Lineage: Eukaryota; Viridiplantae; Streptophyta; Magnoliopsida; Arecales; Arecaceae
Description: long non-coding RNA (PDAC_LNC020316)
Source: RNAcentral
GCAUCAAGGAGUGGAAGGUUGAUUUUUACUUGUUUGAAAACCUCUAUCAUUUCCUCUAGUGAAGUUCCUUAUUUGCCAAAGGGAGAGGGUGAAUUAAGAGCUUCAGAAAAUGGGGCCUUUGGGAUAUGAGUUUGGGCAGAAGGUGGACUAGCUGAAGAAGAAGAAGAAGGUUUUAGAUUUUCAUUUGACAUAUUUUUAUCCUCUUCUUCACCUUCCUUAUUGUUGUCCUCCCUAAUCUUAUUGUCUACUACACGUCCACUCCUUAGGGUAGUCAAAGCAUUGGCUUGCUCAUGAUUUAGUCGAGUUUCUUGAGCCACGUAUUGUCCCCUAGGAUUACUCAUUGGUUGACUUGGAAGCUUACCUUCCUCUCGCUUGUUUAAUGCAUUGGCUAGUUGACCCAUUUGGGAUUCUAGCUUAGCAAUUGAUUGCGUGUCAGAGUGCAAUAGUUGUGUGUUUGCCUCCAAACCUUGAAGGGCAGUCAACACUUUCUCCUCAAAGACUGUAUUUCUUUGGGUUGGAGGAGGAGGGUGUUGAAAU